This 2262-nucleotide long non-coding RNA is filed under the name Sus scrofa (pig). Its description in RNAcentral is "lncRNA (ENSSSCG00015043879.1)". Lineage: Eukaryota; Metazoa; Chordata; Mammalia; Artiodactyla; Suidae. The record is from RNAcentral.
UUUUUUUUUUAUUUUCCCUGCCCUGACACUAUUCAAUCUUUAUAGUUCUUCCCCACUUUUACACUUUUGAGAAGAAUAUAGGAGCAAGAUAAAUGUACUCAUUGGAUCAAGAAUUAAAACAGCUUGUGAUCCACUAAAUAAAAGUAAAAAAUGAAGCUCCUAUCUACAUUGCUUUUUAAGAAAUAUCAACCACUACUUCCCAACAUAUGUCACAGGGUAGAUUUGGAGAUAUUUGCGUGUAUGUUUAUUUUUUUAAUUUAAUUUAAUUUUUUUAUUUUUCAGUACUCAAUGAAUUUAUUACAUUUAUAGUUGUACAAUGAUCAUCACAAUCCAAUUUUAUAGGAUUUCCAUCCCAAAACCCCAGUGCAUCCCCAACACCUCCUGAACUGUACCCUUUGGAAACCAUAAGUUUUUUAAAGUCUGUGAGUCAGUAUCUGUUCUGCAAAGAAGUUCAUUGUGUCAUUUUUUCAGAUUCCACAUGUCAGUGAAAGCAUUUGAUGCUGGUGUCUCAUUGUCUGACUGACUUCACUUAGCAUGAUAAUUUCUAGGUCCAUUCAUGUUGCUAAAAAUGCCAGUAUUUUGUUCCUUUUAAUGGCUGAGUAAUAUUCCAUUGUGUAUAUGUGCCACGUCUUCUUUAUCCACUCCUCUGUCGAUGGACAUUUAGGCUGUUUCCAUAUCUUGGCUAUUGAAAAUAGUGUUGCAAUGAACAUUGGAGUACAUGGGUCUUUUUGAGUCAUGGUUUUCUCUGGAUAGAUGCCCAGGAGAGUGGGAUUGCUGGAUCAAAUGGUGGUUCUGUUUUUAGUUUUCUGACCAUCUCCAUACUGUUUUCCACAGUGGUUGCACCAAUUUACAAUCCCACCAGCAGUGUAAUGGGGUUCCUUUUUCUCCACAUCCUCUCCAGAACUUACUGUUCAUAGACUUUUUGAUGAUGGCCAUUCUGGCUGGUGUAAGGUGGUACCUCAUAGUAAUUUUGAUUUGCAUUUCUCUAAUGAUGAGUGAUGUUGAACAUCUUUUCAUGUGUUUUUGGCCACCUUUACUGGUGAGCUUUGUCAUUUGUGAUAUUACUGUUUCCUGUUGCUGUCUUUUAUUUUCUGCCUAGAUAAGUUCCUUUAGUAUUUGUUGUAAAGCUGGUUUAGUGUUGCUGAAUUCUCUUAGCUUUUGUUUAUCUGUGAAGCUUUUGAUUUCUCCUUCAAAUCUGAAUGAGAGCCUUGCCUUGCUGGGUAAAGUAGUCUUGGUUGGAGGUUUUUCCCUUUCAUCACGUAAAAUAUAUCAUGCCACUCCCUUCUGGCCUGCAGAGUUUCUGCUGAAAAAUCUGCCAAUAACCUCAUCAGGGUUCCCUUGUAUGUUAUUUGUUUCUUUUCCCUAGUUGCUUUCAAUAUUUUCUCUUUGUCUUUAAUUUUGGUCAGUUUGAUGAAUAUGUGUCUCAGGGUGUUCCUCCUUGGGUUUCUUUUAUAUGGUACUCGUUGAGCUUCCUGGAUUUGAGUGAAUGGUUCCUUUCCCAUGUUAGGGAAGUUUUCAGCUAUUAUCUCUUGGAAUAUUUUUUCUGUCUCCUUCUCUCUCUCUUCUCCUCUGGCACCCCUAUGAUAUGGAUGUUGGUACAUUUAACAUUGUCCCAGAGUUCUCUGAGACUCUCUUCAUUUGUUUUCAAUCUUUUUUCUCUUUUCUCUUCCACAUCCAUAAUUUCCACUAAUCUGUCCCCCAACUUGCUUAUUCUUUCUUCUGCCUCCUGUAUUCUGCUAUUGGCUGCUUCUAGUGAAUUUUUUAUUUCAGUUACUGUAUUUUGCAUCUCUUCUCGUUUAAGUUUUAUAUCUUGUAUCUCUUUGCUCAGUGUUUCCUGUAAGUUAUCCAUCUUUGCCUCCAGUUUAUUUCCAAUGUCUUGCAUCUUCUUCAGAAUCAACAGUCUAAAGUUUUUCUCCUGGAGGCUGACAAUCUCCUGAUCGCUUAGCUUAUUUUCUGGGGAUUUUUCUUUCUCCCUUAUCUGAGUUAUAGUUCUCUGUCUUUUCAUUUUUAUAGGUUUUUGGUGUGGUGACCUUUUUACAGAUAAUAGAUUUGUAGCCUCUCUUACUUCCAGUGUCUGCCCCCCUUGUGCCUUGUCUAUUUUUUUAAUCAUUCUAAGGGACACUCUAACCCUUAAGACAUUUGAUGAUUUUAGAAUACUUUACAAUACUAAAAUCAUUAAAAUAUUUUAGUAAAAUCAUGAUGACAAUCUCGUUGUUCAAUUUAUAAAUAAUAAUUCUAGGAUUAAUGAACACAUGGUAACAG